Molecule: ribosomal RNA, 642 nt
Filed under: Staphylococcus sp.
Lineage: Bacteria; Bacillati; Bacillota; Bacilli; Caryophanales; Staphylococcaceae
Description: bacterial SSU rRNA
Rfam family: Bacterial small subunit ribosomal RNA
Source: RNAcentral
GGGCGAAAGCCUGACGGAGCAACGCCGCGUGAGUGAUGAAGGUCUUCGGAUCGUAAAACUCUGUUAUUAGGGAAGAACAAAUGUGUAAGUAACUAUGCACGUCUUGACGGUACCUAAUCAGAAAGCCACGGCUAACUACGUGCCAGCAGCCGCGGUAAUACGUAGGUGGCAAGCGUUAUCCGGAAUUAUUGGGCGUAAAGCGCGCGUAGGCGGUUUUUUAAGUCUGAUGUGAAAGCCCACGGCUCAACCGUGGAGGGUCAUUGGAAACUGGAAAACUUGAGUGCAGAAGAGGAAAGUGGAAUUCCAUGUGUAGCGGUGAAAUGCGCAGAGAUAUGGAGGAACACCAGUGGCGAAGGCGACUUUCUGGUCUGUAACUGACGCUGAUGUGCGAAAGCGUGGGGAUCAAACAGGAUUAGAUACCCUGGUAGUCCACGCCGUAAACGAUGAGUGCUAAGUGUUAGGGGGUUUCCGCCCCUUAGUGCUGCAGCUAACGCAUUAAGCACUCCGCCUGGGGAGUACGACCGCAAGGUUGAAACUCAAAGGAAUUGACGGGGACCCGCACAAGCGGUGGAGCAUGUGGUUUAUUUCGAAGCAACGCGAAGAACCUUACCAAAUCUUGACAUCCUCUGACCCCUCUAGAGA